CACUGUGCAAUUCAGUGUGAUUUGAAAUUGAAAAAAUUAUUAAAUUAAUUGUUGAAAUUAUUCUUUUUUUUAGUAAAUUAUUUGAAAUAAAUAUUUUAAUUAUAGUUUAAUAGUAAUGUGAAUGAACUUUGAAAUAAUAAUUAAAUUUUUAAAAGAAGAAUUAAAUUUUUGUACCUUGUGUAUCAGGGUUGAUAAAUUAAGGGUUUAAUAUUGAACUUUCCCGAAUCAAUAAGAGUUAGCCUUUUAUGUUUAAGAUUGUUUAAAAAAUCUAUUUUAUAAUUGGUUUGAAAUGAAACGUUAUUCGUUUAUUGAGAUAUCUGGUUUUUUUAGAAAAGAAUUCAAUUCUUUCCUUUUUAAUUAUUUUUCUAUUUUUGAUUUAUAAUUGAAGGGGUUAAAUAUUAAAUGGGAUGAGCUUUUUAGUAUAUUAUUAAAAAUUAUUUUGUUAUAUUGGUUUGUAUGAUUAAAAUUUUCAAUCUUAAAAUAAAUUAAUAUUUUUCCUUUAUUAAUAUAAUAUUUAUAUGUUUUUUAAGUUUUUUAUAAAAAUUUUUUCUUUAAUUUAAUGAGUUAAUUAAUAAUGAUUAAAUUAGUAAAUUUUGGUUUUUAAAACUUUAUAAUUGAAAGGUUUAUUAAAGGAAUUCGGCAAAUUUACUUUCCGCCUGUUUAAUAAAAACAUGUCCUUUUGAUAAUGAUUUAAGGUCUAAUCUGCUCAAUGAAUUUUAAAUAGCCGCGGUAUUUUGACCGUGCGAAGGUAGCAUAAUAAUUAGUUUCUUUAUUGGAAGCUGGAAUGAAUGAUUGGACGAGAAAGUUACUGUCUCUAAUAAAAUUUUAAUUGAAUUUAACUUUUAAGUUAAAAGGCUUAAAUGAUGUUUAAAGACGAGAAGACCCUAUAGAGUUUUAUAUUUAAAUGAUUGAGUAUUUUUUGGUAUUUAUUUAUUUAAUUAUUUAUUUAUUUGGUUGGGGUGACUAAAAGAUUAGAUUAACUCUUUUAAAUUGAUGUUAUUGAUUGAUAAAUAAAAAUUCUUUUUUAAAAAGUUUAAAAUAAAUUACCUUAGGGAUAACAGCGUUAUUUCCUUUAGAAGUUCUUAUUUUAAGGGGAGAUUGCGACCUCGAUGUUGGAUUAAAAUUUAUAUUUGGUGCAGUAGCUAAUAUAUUGGGUCUGUUCGACCUUUAAAAUUUUACAUGAUCUGAGUUUAAACCGGUGUGAGCCAGGUUGGUUUCUAUCUUUAAUUUAAUAGGAUGCUUUAGUACGAAAGGACCAAGUAUUCAAUAAAUUAUUUAAUUUUUGAGUAAAAUUGUUACUUUGGCAGAAUAGUGCGA
RNAcentral lists this ribosomal RNA (1317 nucleotides) under Agriotes fuscicollis. RNAcentral describes it as "16S ribosomal RNA". The stretch from base 610 to 1317 matches the Rfam family "Archaeal large subunit ribosomal RNA", at positions 1423 to 2841 of the family's 2987-position model. The record is from RNAcentral. Lineage: Eukaryota; Metazoa; Arthropoda; Insecta; Coleoptera; Elateridae.